Long non-coding RNA from Peromyscus leucopus (white-footed mouse), 378 nucleotides. RefSeq lists it as uncharacterized. The record is from RefSeq and is a predicted model, not a curated record. The transcript is spliced from 3 exons. NCBI's taxonomy places the organism in Eukaryota, Metazoa, Chordata, Mammalia, Rodentia, Cricetidae.
AUGAUGAUGCGGGCGAAGAAGGAGAAGACGACAUAGAUAUAGUCUAUCGAGUUGGUGAGAUGAUUCUCUAACUGCUAAAAUCCUCCACUACAGCUCUGUAAAAAGAAUUGAAGGGGAGAUCUAAACUUAAGUGUGCAGUGUGAGCCACCUCACAAGUGUGGAAGAAAAUGAACACGAGUUUCACCAGAGAGGCUUUUCUGUUCAGUGCCAUCUGCAAGGUCACACUGUGGUACGCAUUGUUUGCCUAUUUGGGUUCAUCCAUCACACUCUUCUGAAGUAAACAGUCAUUCUAGGUGAGUCAAGACCCUGCUACAAAUGAGAUGGGAGAAACCACAUUCACCCCCGCUACCAGAAAGAACGAUACUGAAAUAGCUUCAA